Molecule: ribosomal RNA, 204 nt
Filed under: Triticum aestivum (bread wheat)
Lineage: Eukaryota; Viridiplantae; Streptophyta; Magnoliopsida; Poales; Poaceae
Description: partial small subunit ribosomal RNA
Source: RNAcentral
AUGCGGGAGUGGGAGUCCAGGGCGGACGAGCAGCGCCGGGUCGUGGCAGACCUGAUGCGCCUCAUCGGUAUGCCGGAGGGUCCGGUCACAGUGGCUUCAACACUACUAGAGGAAGAAGCUGGAGCAUAUCUCACCGAUAAGGAAUCGCUGGCGACACCGACAAGAGAAAUUAUGGCAGCAGCAAUCGAAAGCAGCAGCUCUUGA